AACGAACGCUGGCGGCAGGCCUAACACAUGCAAGUCGAACGCCCUAGCAAUAGGGAGUGGCAGACGGGUGAGUAACGCGUGGGAACCUUCCUUAUGGUGCGGAAUAACUCGCCGAAAGGCGUGCUAAUACCGCAUAAGCCCGCAAGGGGAAAGAUUCAUCGCCAUAAGAUGGGCCCGCGUAGGAUUAGCUAGUUGGUGAGGUAACGGCCCACCAAGGCUACGAUCCUUAGCNGGUUUUGAGAGAAUGACCAGCCACACUGGGACUGAGACACGGCCCAGACUCCUACGGGAGGGCAGCAGGUGGGGAAUCUUGGACAAUGGGCGCAAGCCUGAUCCAGCCAUGCCGCGUGAGUGACGAAGGCCUUCGGUU
This 370-nucleotide ribosomal RNA is filed under the name uncultured bacterium. Its description in RNAcentral is "bacterial SSU rRNA". It matches the Rfam family "Bacterial small subunit ribosomal RNA", at positions 29 to 423 of the family's 1533-position model. The record is from RNAcentral.